Molecule: non-coding RNA, 452 nt
Filed under: Pan troglodytes (chimpanzee)
Lineage: Eukaryota; Metazoa; Chordata; Mammalia; Primates; Hominidae
Source: RNAcentral
GAUCCGCUGAGCGGCAGGUGCAGGCAGUGGAGGCAGUAGCUGCUGUCCAGUCGGUAGCCGACUUGCGGAUCCAGCAAGAACCAGCGGCUGCGCUUCGGCUGCUGCAGAGUUAGGGUCUUGCUCUGUCGCUCAGGCUGGAGUGCAGUGGCAUGAUCAUGGGUCACUGCAGCCUUGAACUCCUGGGCUUAAGGGAUCUUCUCAUCUCAGUCUCCUAAAUAGCUGGGACUACAGGCUCAGGCCACCAUGCCUGCUUAUAGAAGAGCACGGCAUACAGAAAAAUCCAUCUUCUGCAAAGAAAACACAGUCAUGUAGAGAACCUUUCCAUCCGCAGUCUGGACCCAGUUCCUAGGAAAGAAGUUGUUUCAACUCUCAUUGGAGGAAGUAUAAGGUGAUCUCAGGGAAGGGGAGAAGGGCUGGUUGCCUGCCAAAUCUAUGAUCAAGUCGGCUCCACA